AGGAAAUUAGUUUAAGAAAAACCUUUGAUUUCGACUCAAAAACUUGUGGUUAAAGUCCAUAAUUACCUA
Molecule: transfer RNA, 69 nt
Filed under: Hexagrammos decagrammus (kelp greenling)
Lineage: Eukaryota; Metazoa; Chordata; Actinopteri; Perciformes; Hexagrammidae
Description: tRNA-Arg
Rfam family: tRNA
About the family: Transfer RNA (tRNA) molecules are approximately 80 nucleotides in length. Their secondary structure includes four short double-helical elements and three loops (D, anti-codon, and T loops).
Source: RNAcentral